This 362-nucleotide long non-coding RNA is filed under the name Equus caballus (horse). RNAcentral's name for it is "lncRNA (ENSECAG00000054502.1)". The record is from RNAcentral. Lineage: Eukaryota; Metazoa; Chordata; Mammalia; Perissodactyla; Equidae.
UUCGAACCAGCGAAACACUGGGCCGCCUGCAGCGGGGUGCGCGAACUUAACCACUCGGCCACGGGGCCAGCCCCUUAAGUUGUAUCCAGCGCCUACCACGUGCUGCUGUCAGCCCUCUGGUUAUCAGGGAGGAAUGGGAUCAGGAACCUGCCUUCCAAAUGUUUGAACCCUUGGAGAGAAGAGAAGAUGAGCAAAAAUUACUAAGGCAAUGGAAAACAGUCACCCCUCCUGAUACGUAUAAUCAUUGUGUGCAUAUUUUGAAAAAUCCUGGUUAUUUCAAAAAUCAAAAGUAUCUAAACUGCUUCCCAACCACUAUAUCAUCAAGAGCUUUUAUUUUCUCAGGGUGGAAUUUGCUUCAUGCG